Rosa chinensis is the source of this 463-nucleotide long non-coding RNA. RefSeq lists it as uncharacterized. The transcript is spliced from 3 exons. The record is from RefSeq and is a predicted model, not a curated record. NCBI's taxonomy places the organism in Eukaryota, Viridiplantae, Streptophyta, Magnoliopsida, Rosales, Rosaceae.
UCUCCGAUAGAUUUUCUCUCUAUUCUCUCUCCUAAUUUUUUCUCUCUAAAACUACGGCGAAUCAUAACUUUUGAACAUUAACUCUGAAUCAGGAUCCACGAAAAGCUACGGAUUCGUCUUGAUUCACUCUAUUUAUCCAUAGAGGUCUGCGUUAGAUCCAACAAUGUUUUCUAUGAGAGAGGUACUUAGAUUUGACGAGCCAAAAUGGGUUGGAUGAGCCUAGAAUUAAUGAAGAGCCUAGAAGGAAGAGUAUAUUUAUAUUCUACUUUGUAACACUCACACCUCAAAUUCGGCGUUAGGUGCUUAAAAUCCACCAACACCAAGUUCGGGGCGUGACAAAUAUAUACCAGGCAUGGAUACAACAUGAAGCUGGAACAGAACAAGGAACAACUAGGCUUUAAAUGAGUGAUCAGUGAUUGCUUCAUUUCUGUACUUCAACAAUCAACAACCAUAUAUAUAUAUG